This is a long non-coding RNA of Bubalus bubalis (water buffalo), 2772 nucleotides long. RefSeq lists it as uncharacterized. The record is from RefSeq and is a predicted model, not a curated record. Lineage: Eukaryota; Metazoa; Chordata; Mammalia; Artiodactyla; Bovidae. The transcript has 3 exons.
GCGUGAAAGUGAAGUCGCUCAGUCAAGUCUGACCCUCAGCGACCCCAUGGACUGCAGCCUACCAGGCUCCUCCAUCCAUGGGAUUUUCCAGGCAAAAGUACUGGAGUGGGGUGCCAUCAUCCAGGCCCACUCCCCACUGAGGGCCCCCACAGAGACAUCAAGCUGACCCCCAAACUGCAGGAGCAGUUCAUGCUCCCUGCGUAGCGCAGGGCUGUGGGGAAGCUGCUACCCAGACCCAGACCCCAGCUCCCAGUCCCCUGUUCGUUAAUCAGGGGCCGAGGGGCUAGUGCUCAUCAGCGGAAGCUGAUGGCAGGUUGCUUCCUGGCCAAGGAGCUUAAGAGGCAGACGUGCCUUCUGUGCACCACAUUUUCCCACCCUUCUAAACGGACAAGUGACUGCAGUGGGAGGCGGGGAAGGGCCGAGAUACAGGCAAAGGAGCCUGAAUCCUUGAACCACCACGUGGAGGAAUGUGUCACCCUCGGGAACUCUUGCGUUGAUGACUGUUCAAUGAGCUUGAACUAAACUGUUUUGCGUUUAUGUUCCUGGCAGCUAGUGUUACACCAUCUCAUACAGGCCUCUGUACCAAAUGCAGGAUGUUUUCCCCUGAAGUGUAUCCACGUGCAUCCCUUCUGUCCCAUUCAGGUCUCUGCUCACAUGGCAUCUCAGUGAGGCCUGACCUGACCACCCUAUUUGAAACCGCAGCCUGCCCACAGCUGCUCCCUGGGACCCGUGUUCCCCUUGCCUGCACCAGCGCCCUCCAUCGCAUUUUUUACAAACCACUAACUGUACUCACUUGUUUCAUCUUCCACCUCCGCCCCCAGUAGAACGUAUGCUACACAAGGGCAGAGAGAGUUUUCUUCACAUGGAUCCACUCCACCCCACCCAGUGCCAGGAACCUGGUCUUGCAGGUGCCCAGUGGUGCAGGCCUCCAGCUGCCCCUGGGCCUCAGGCAGAGCAUUCAUCCACUUACCGAGCACCUGCCGCAUCCCUGAGGCUGGGAGGUCACAGGAUGAGAUGAGGCCCGGGCCAUCGAGGCUGCUGCUCCCCGGAGGGCUCUUCGAGGCCCUGGACCAGGAAACCAGCUUAACCAGCUUUCAGGAUGACCUUGGACAAAGCAUGUCUCAUUCUAAGCCUCAGUUUCCUCUUCAGUAAAUGGAGGAGUCAGUGCCACCAAGUCCUGGAAUUCCUCCCAGCCCUGAUGUUCCAGAACAAGGCUUCUCAUUUUGGGGGGGUCACGAACUGCCAUGUGCAUACCAGAGAAGUGACAGACCCUUGCCUCCAGGAUAAUGUGCCCCUACACGCACACACACAAAGUUUGUCCACACCUUAGAGUUCAUGGAGUCAUGGAACCCACUCAUUCAAGGGCUCCAGGUCUAGACCCUCAGCUUUGGGACAGCCCCCCAGGUCUGAGUUUCUCUCAGUUCAGUGUUGGGAAGAUGGGGAGCUGGGCAACCCCUGAGGGGUUCUCCUCCAAAGACCCCUCUGGUUGGCGGGCAGGGCCACCUUCAACCCAUUUAGGUUUGGUCAUCCCCCCAGUCACCCUUAGCAACCCCAAGGCCAAACUGCCCUUGCUCUGAGGGUCAUGGAGGACUGAGACCAGGGGCAUAGAGGGACAGGAGUGAGCUCCUGACUGCCCAACUGCCUCACGCUGUGCACACUGUCAACCCCACUCCUCCGUCCAGGCCCCUCUUAAAAGCCCCCCUCCUCUUGGAAGCUUCCCUUGCCUUUCUCGGGUACAGACUGUGAGCCCGCCGGGGUCCGAUUCAUCAGCUCUAACACGUGGCACAUGGCAGGUUCUCUGAGGUGGGAGAGGCUGGGGUAGGAAGGGUCAGGCCUGCAGGCCCCUCUCCGGGCUCAGGGACACCCAUUUGCCUUCUAGCCAGAGCCUCCUGGAGACCAGAGCCCCGUGGGAUGCAGCCUCGAGUCUCUCAGACUUUCAGGGAAGCCGGGAAGGUGGUGUUUUCUGGGACAGGUUGGUCCUCGUGGAGAUCCCAGGUCACACUGGGAGGUGGGCCCCGCCCAGUGCUUGGAGCCAAGUCCUCUCAGCAGUCAACCACCCAGACCUUCUUUGUCCUGCCCUUCCAGCUUUCCCAUCUGAGAAAUACGGGGUUAUAGGACCCCAGAGCUUUGGAGAUCUUCCAAGAAGGAAGUGGGAACAGGGAGGAACGGUGGGACCCUUGUUCCCAGGUGUGGUCAGACAAAGGCCCUGCAGCCACAAAGCAGUGUGAUCCAGAGCCCAGCCUAGUUGGGGGGAAGUCAGGCCAGUGCAAGGUGGGCUGGACGCUGUAGCCUGGCUGAGAAAGCCAUGGGUGCCCUGCCUGCAGGCCAAGAACCAGGGGCCUUGUACUUGAGCUGAACAGACCUGAAGCUUUGCGGGCAGGCGUAUUCUUCCCGAUCUCUGCACACUCGAGACUGAAGGCAGAAUAUAAUCUCAAAGCAAGCCCCUGGGAUAGUACCAGGCAGGCAAGCCGGCAGCUCUCCAGACCCCUCUACUGCACAGGUGCGUUAGAAGAGGAUGGACAGCUGCCUCCACGUGGGCUGGGGAACCCAGAGAGGACCGAGAUACUGCCUCAAAGAUGUCUUCCAUCCCCACUGAUGGCUGCCCACGUUCCCCAUGGGAGCUUCAUCCUUUAACUAAAUCUGGGCCCUAUUAGAAUGCGCCUUCAAGCAGCCAGACACAGCUGAGUCCAACCACGGGUGGGAGGCUGAGAAGAGGAGCAGUUCUGAGGGGCACGUGGAGAAGGUCAACAGCUGCGGUGAUGUGGGAUGGGG